Molecule: ribosomal RNA, 433 nt
Filed under: uncultured bacterium
Lineage: Bacteria
Description: partial 16S ribosomal RNA
Rfam family: Bacterial small subunit ribosomal RNA
Source: RNAcentral
AGCGAACGCUGGCGGCAGGCCUAACACAUGCAAGUCGAACGGAUCCUUCGGGAUUAGUGGCGGACGGGUGAGUAACACGUGGGAACGUGCCCUUUGGUUCGGAACAACUCAGGGAAACUUGAGCUAAUACCGGAUGUGCCCUUCGGGGGAAAGAUUUAUCGCCAUUGGAGCGGCCCGCGUCUGAUUAGCUAGUUGGUGAGGUAACGGCCCACCAAGGCGACGAUCAGUAGCUGGUCUGAGAGGGUGAUCAGCCACACUGGGACUGAGACACGGCCCAGACUCCUACGGGAGGCAGCAGUGGGGAAUCUUGCGCAAUGGGCGAAAGCCUGACGCAGCCAUGCCGCGUGAAUGAUGAAGGUCUUAGGAUUGUAAAAUUCUUUCAGCGGGGACGAUAAUGACGGUACCCGCAGAAGAAGCUCCGGCUAACUUCGUG